UACGGGGGGGGCAAGCGUUGUUCGGAAUUACUGGGCGUAAAGGGCUCGUAGGCGGCCAACUAAGUCAGACGUGAAAUCCCCAGGCUUAACCUGGGAACUGCGUCUGAUACUGGUUGGCUUGAAUCCGGGAGAGGGAUGUGGAAUUCCAGGUGUAGCGGUGAAAUGCGUAGAUAUCUGGAGGAACACCGGUGGCGAAGGCGGCAUCCUGGACCGGUAUUGACGCUGAGGAGCGAAAGCCAGGGGAGCAAACGGG
RNAcentral lists this ribosomal RNA (253 nucleotides) under uncultured bacterium. RNAcentral describes it as "partial 16S ribosomal RNA". It matches the Rfam family "Bacterial small subunit ribosomal RNA", at positions 524 to 776 of the family's 1533-position model. The record is from RNAcentral.